GCCAUAACACAUACGUUUUUCCAGCAGCAGACUAUGAUCGAUAACGUCAAAAGCCACACUGAAGUCUAACAAAGCAGCCCCCACAAUAUUUGUAUCAUCCAUUUCUCAUUGGGAGUGGAGACUGCUUUGCUGAGGCAGAAGAUGGCUCCCCUGGCGAACAAACUCCGGGCAACACCGGUCAGUCGGAUAAAGACAAACGAUAAGACAGAGAUGCAUCCAACAUGUGCGAACGCCGUCCACCCACCAGCGUAGAAAAGGUAAAUAUUCCACUCUGCGUUCCCCCCAGUUUCUUACGUAGGCUGGCAACCUGCGUGAUCAAGGAAGCCACUUCAAGCCUAUAAUCCUCGGCAAGCAAACAAUUGCUGGCUGCAUUGGAAAUCUGUGAUCCAGUUUGUCCCGAAACAACAUGUAGUAGAUACAGCGCUGGAACCGUUCAUUUACUUCUUCAGACAAAGAGGCCUCCAUUGGAAAACUCAUCUGGGACUAACUUUGUUAGCUUGAUGGCUAAGGUUAGCAGUUUAGCUAGGUCAGCGGCUCUUUCGAGCAAACUUUAACCUGUCAGUUAAGCGGGAUUCCAGGACAAGAAAUAGCGGCCCUAGCUGUUAAAAGCUAACCCAGUUCCGUACUCCAUGGAAAAACGAGUUUGGCAUUUAUAUUUAACAAAGAUUGGUUAUGUUUUAGUUAAAAUAACAAACCGAGUGUUUCCAGCAUACAAUGUUCAGCUGCGCACUCUGAUGACGUGGUAUGCCAGCCAUUAACAUUAAGCUCUAAGUGUAAGCAAACGAGCUGCGACGACAUAGGCCUUUGUUCAGCACUUUCAAACUGGACACCGACAGAAAUUCAGAUCGGUGUUAGUUAAGAUAAAAUCAGCAAGAUGUUGAGGCGUUUACUGCAAGCUAAACAGGUAGGGUGGGUCGCCACUGGCGUGCGCACAUAGGAGGUCCCGUGAAAAAUGUGCCCGCCUAUGGAAUUCAAAGGCCUGUCCAACUGAUUCGCCGGCCCUGCAACAUGGUGUCCCAUAUUAAGUACUACUGCUUGGAUAGAUAGGAGGUAUAGGGGUUGCAAGCAUACAGAAACCACACAUACAAACAGUAUUGAACAUUAUUUGCCGAUAUCAACUGGAACUGGACAUCUUUCAAGCUGAAGAUUGAGGCCAGCUUUUGUAUGCUAGCGUACACUCCUAAACAGUACUGGAUGAAAACACAGCAAGAAAACACUUGCUGGAAGAGUGUGGGACUGCUGUACCAAUUGUCCACAUUCAAAGUGUGUCCCUUGCCGAGAUGAGAAGCCAGCGUGGUCAUCACCGUGGAACCUGACACCCCAAGCCCCUCAUAAUGUUGGAUGUCAGUGGUGGAUCCUGUGUAAACUAUAAUGUCCUGGACAAAUCCUGUUUUCACGUCGCACAUAACAAAGCACUUGACCCCAAACCUGUGCCUUUUGGGUGGAAUAUAUUGACAGAACGCCAGCCUACCCUUCCAUAACAUCAGGGACUCAUCAAUGCAUAGCUCCUUGUAUGGCACAAAGACCCUACCAACUGCUAAUGUCAGGCUGGUAAGAACAUUUCGUAUUUUCGGUGUAACGGGUCAUUUAGGUUGGCAGUAGAAUUGUUGACGAAAUGCAGGCAUCGCAGCAGAAAUAGGAAGGGUCCUUGGGAAAAGAGGGUGGCAAAGAAGGGAGUUGCAAACAUAGGAUCUGUGCUCCAGUAUUCUCUUAGGGAGUUAUUCUUUACUAUUCCCAUGAGAAGGAUUGUCACCAGGAAGGUAUGCAAUUCACUAAUUGUGAUUGUCACCCUUUUAGCGAGUUUCCCCCUCCCUCCUGGCUCUCUCUUCUCCUGCAGCUCCCAAGACAUAGCGGUUGGUCUCCUCGAGUAUGUCUCCCACCAGCUCCUCUGUCAGAAACAGCUUGAAGCACUCUGCCUCAGAGGGAAAUGGCAAGGGGCUUUGCACUCCAGACUGGGACUCAUCAAAGCAAACAGCAGUGCCAGGAAAUGGCUGGUAGCCUUCCAGCUACCACAGACCUCCUGUACAUUAUCCACUGUCGGUCUGCCUCCAUCAACACCAGCAUCUUCAAAGGGACCUCAGGCUUCGUCAGGGGACAAGGGGUCCUCAGAUUCAGGGUUCUCAAUGGCUAGAAGGUUGGGGGGCAGCUCCUCGUUGUCACUGUCAGAAUCUGAUUCCUGACUUUGAUACUCAUUGUCAGAAUUGUAAAAAAUCUUUCCGCAUUUGUGAGUUGUCUCCUUUUGAAAGACAUUGCUGAUGCUACAGCUUAGCUCACUAGCUACAUACAUAAAGAACAACACUGAAUCGCUCAGGGUGGGAGUGAGGUUACAUAAUUGACUGCCGACACGCGCCACUUGUAUCGAUACAUCACUAUCAGAAAAUGUGUUGUGUGGUAAUUAUUUAUUUAUUUACUGUUUUAUUCACAUUUUCAAGUACUGGUGACAAAUCAUGCAUUCGGAUUCUUGCAUAGAUUGUAAUGGACACAUAUUAUGUGUGUAAAAUACUUUUUUGAAGGUUGUACUGAUUAUGAUGAGCUAAGCUAAUUCCAGCUAUGUGUGGAGCCAUGUUUGUUGAAAUACAAUGCAUUCUGGGUUUCAUAUAAACGUCUGUCGAACCAAGGAUGUUAUAACAAAAUGAGGUGAGGGAGGGUUCACUCACUUUUUGAGUAAACUUCUGGAAGUGAAUGAUGAGAUGUGAACGAUGGUAGACGACACACCCCCUUCAACAUGCAUACUAUAAACAGACCAAACUCAUCUUGUCUCCUCUUAUUAUCUUUGGUUGAUGAGAAAAAACAAACAUGGCGGUGUGCACAAACUACCCAUCGUUGGAUUACUUUCAAUUUCUAGAAAGUGUUUUACUCAAUUAUUUAGAUCAAUGGUGAGCUCACCCGUGAUGUGAUUAUUUUUAUAUACUAAUUGCUAUUAGCUAAUUCCUGCUGUAGUUUCUGUCAACCGAGAGUUAUGAAAAUAUGAACGCUUAUGUUACGUCAGUCUUUCCUCAGUUAGCGCUAGGAUAAAUGUAGCCUACAUUUUCUGGUUUGGAUGAUUGUGUUAUGUUGUAGCUACUGCUGUGAAUGUCUGAACAUUG
Molecule: long non-coding RNA, 3086 nt
Filed under: Salmo salar (Atlantic salmon)
Lineage: Eukaryota; Metazoa; Chordata; Actinopteri; Salmoniformes; Salmonidae
Description: lncRNA (ENSSSAG00000116169.1)
Source: RNAcentral